AUUUAGAGGAAGGAGAAGUCGUAACAAGGUUUCCGUAGGUGAACCUGCGGAAGGAUCAUUGUCGUCUCUAGAACCACCACCGGCGAACCGAGGUCCCGCAGAAACGUCGCUCGCGGCGCGCGGCCCCCGCGUCCCGACGAGCUCCGAACAACCCUCUGGGCGCGGCGAGCGCCAAGGAAUAGAAGCGGAAAGGGCGGCCGCCUCGCCCGGUGCGGGCGCGCCCCGGCCGGGGACGCAGCACCGSCGUGGGGAUCCGCCGCCCGUCUGUGAGAWCUUUUAGACGACUCUCGGCAACGGAUAUCUCGGCUCUCGCAUCGAUGAAGAACGUAGCGAAAUGCGAUACUUGGUGUGAAUUGCAGAAUCCCGYGAACCAUCGAGUCUUUGAACGCAAGUUGCGCCCGAGGCCACUCGGCCGAGGGCACGCCUGCCUGGGCGUCACGCCACCCAUCGCCCCCGCCGCGGCGUUCCCACGCCCGGCAGGGGAGCGGAGACUGGCCGUCCGUGCCCGAGUCCUCGGCGCGCGGUCGGCAGAAAAGGGGGACACCGCGCGGCGCGGCGCGGCCUUUGGGGGGCUGAGAGGCGAUCCGUCGCCGAUCGUACGCCGCGCCCGCAUUCCGCCGCGUGCGGUGUCACCGGAGUGGACUCGCCCGCAGCCGCGGGCGCUCGGACCGCGACCCCAGGUCAGGCGUGGCCACCCGCUGAAUUUA
RNAcentral lists this ribosomal RNA (707 nucleotides) under Neolitsea pulchella. RNAcentral describes it as "eukaryotic LSU rRNA". Lineage: Eukaryota; Viridiplantae; Streptophyta; Magnoliopsida; Laurales; Lauraceae. The record is from RNAcentral.